UAUCCAUCACUCAGGUGAGCAGUUAAGUCAGCCACACUUGAAGAACAGGUGGGCCAAGUUCGUCUGUAAAGAGGCAACAAGCUGCAUCUUUGUCGACAGAUAGAUUAUCGACACCACUGUCACUUUAGGAAGAGAUGGGCCAGAUUAAUCUAUAAAGAAGCAACAGGACACAUCUUUGGUUGAAAGAUAUGUUAUCAAACACUGCUGCCACUUGAAGAAGAGAUGGGCCAAAUUCAUCUAUAAAGAGGCGACAGGACGCAUCUUUGACACAAGAGGACCAGCCUUCACUCACAUAAGGAUGGCUCAUGUGGUGUUUCCAUUCCGGUGUCAUGGUUG
Long non-coding RNA from Epinephelus moara (kelp grouper), 336 nucleotides. RefSeq lists it as uncharacterized. The record is from RefSeq and is a predicted model, not a curated record. Lineage: Eukaryota; Metazoa; Chordata; Actinopteri; Perciformes; Serranidae. The transcript has 4 exons.